CCCCUAGAUGUUCUGGGCCGCACGCGCGCUACACUGAACAGUUCAACAAGUCUUAACCUUGGCCGAUAGGUCUGGGUAAUCUUUGAACGCUGUUCGUGAUUGGGAUAGACCUUUGCAAUUAUGGGUCUUCAACGAGGAAUUCCUAGUAAACGCAAGUCAUCAGCUUGCAUUGAUUACGUCCCUGCCCUUUGUACACACCGCCCGUCGCACCUACCGAUUGAAUGGUCCGGUGAAAUCUCGGGACGGCGGCUUGGUCGCUUGCGUCCGACUGCUGAAACUUGAUUAAACCAUAUCAUUUAGAGGAAGGUGAAGUCGUCACA
Molecule: ribosomal RNA, 320 nt
Filed under: uncultured eukaryote
Lineage: Eukaryota
Description: partial 18S ribosomal RNA
Rfam family: Eukaryotic small subunit ribosomal RNA
Source: RNAcentral